UAACGCCUGGAAACGGGUGCUAAUGCUGGAUAGCGCAAUAGGUAGGCAUCUACCUGUUGGGAAAGGUGCUACGGCACUACUGAGAGAGGAGCCCGCGGCGCAUUAGCUAGUUGGUGGGGGUAAUGGCUCACCAAGGCGACGAUGCGUAGCCGACCUGAGAGGGUGACCGGCCACACUGGGACUGAGACACGGCCCAGACUCCUACGGGAGGCAGCAGUAGGGAAUCUUCGGCAAUGGGCGAAAGCCUGACCGAGCAACGCCGCGUGAGCGAAGAAGGCCUUCGGGUUGUAAAGCUCAGUCAUCCGGGAAGAGCGGACAGGAAAGGGAAUGCUCCUGUCGAGACGGUACCGGGAGAGGAAGCCCCGGCUAACUACGUG
Molecule: ribosomal RNA, 377 nt
Filed under: uncultured bacterium
Lineage: Bacteria
Description: bacterial SSU rRNA
Rfam family: Bacterial small subunit ribosomal RNA
Source: RNAcentral